Molecule: long non-coding RNA, 933 nt
Organism: Dendrobium catenatum
Lineage: Eukaryota; Viridiplantae; Streptophyta; Magnoliopsida; Asparagales; Orchidaceae
Exons: 6
Source: RefSeq, a predicted model, not a curated record
CAUCGUCGAGUACGAAUGCUCCUGAUAGACGACCUAGCGCCACCGGCCCUCUUAAUCCAGUCAAUUCAACGUUUUCUUAUCCCAGUCUUUUCUUUAACCGAAUACUAGAAAAUCCGAUGAAAUUGUUUAUCGUCUGCAACGCCUAGAGCUUGCAGGCGUUAAGCUAGUUGCUUCAUCGACCUAAACCUAAUUGACGCUCAUGGGGUCGCUCUACCGUCGCCGAUUAUUUUUAUCAUGCCCGCCUUCUACGACCCUUUGGAUGGGUUCUUACUAUAGGACGCUUAGGUGGUGGUAGAGGACAAGUUCUAAAGGAUCCGGGCGACGGCUUCAUUUUCUGUAUUUGUUCGCUCGGCAGAAUCGCCUGAACUGUUUACUCUUUGCUUUGAGUAAUAGAGUGCAGGUUCUACUCUCCGAUUCAUCAAUGGAACUACCGUGAACACAAAGGAGCCUAUCAUUUCAUCAUUGAAGUCCAGGAGAGGCUCUAGCGUCUCAACAAUGGAAGACAUUGGAGGCCUUGACUUGGGUCUCUGACUUAAGCACUGGUAAGCCAUUAUCGCUGCCCUCUGUGCAGCCUUGGUGGAGUACAUGCCAUCAAGACUAGGGUCCAUUAUCCGGGAUAGUUUCCUGGCAUCAUUUAGGUAAGAAACUAGAGGACUAGCAAAUAAAUGGAGUAUUACCGAAUCCAACAAGAUGUUAGAAGCUUUAAAAUCUCUGUAUAUCACCGGCUUCUCCGCCUCGUGGAGGAAGGCCAAUCCCUUCGCAGCCCCCACUGCAAUCUUCAGUCUUGUUGACCAUGGCCAUCAAGAUCCAGGAGCUUAACGGCGACAGCCUGAGACUCCAUUCCUGGCCUCACUCUCUCAUCAAUGAUCCCCUUGUACACUGGUCCGAAGCCACCCUCUCCAAGAAAAUUACUAUUGGAGAAUCCUCCUGUCG